GUUUUCGGAUCGUAAAACUCUGUUGUUAGGGAAGAACAAGUACCGUUCGAAUAGGGCGGUACCUUGACGGUACCUGACCAGAAAGCCACGGCUAACUACGUGCCAGCAGCCGCGGUAAUACGUAGGUGGCAAGCGUUGUCCGGAAUUAUUGGGCGUAAAGCGCGCGCAGGCGGUUUCUUAAGUCUGAUGUGAAAGCCCCCGGCUCAACCGGGGAGGGUCAUUGGAAACUGGGGAACUUGAGUGCAGAAGAGGAGAGUGGAAUUCCACGUGUAGCGGUGAAAUGCGUAGAGAUGUGGAGGAACACCAGUGGCGAAGGCGACUCUCUGGUCUGUAACUGACGCUGAGGCGCGAAAGCGUGGGGAGCGAACAGGAUUAGAUACCCUGGUAGUCCACGCCGUAAACGAUGAGUGCUAAGUGUUAGAGGGUUUCCGCCCUUUAGUGCUGCAGCAAACGCAUUAAGCACUCCGCCUGGGGAGUACGGUCGCAAGACUGAAACUCAAAGGAAUUGACGGGGGCCCGCACAAGCGGUGGAGCAUGUGGUUUAAUUCGAAGCAACGCGAAGAACCUUACCAGGUCUUGACAUCCUCUGACAACCCUAGAGAUAGGGCUUCCCCUUCGGGGGCAGAGUGACAGGUGGUGCAUGGUUGUCGUCAGCUCGUGUCGUGAGAUGUUGGGUUAAGUCCCGCAACGAGCGCAACCCUUGAUCUUAGUUGCCAGCAUUCAGUUGGGCACUCUAAGGUGACUGCCGGUGACAAACCGGAGGAAGGUGGGGAUGACGUCAAAUCAUCAUGCCCCUUAUGACCUGGGCUACACACGUGCUACAAUGGGCAGAACAAAGGGCAGCGAAGCCGCGAGGCUAAGCCAAUCCCACAAAUCUGUUCUCAGUUCG
RNAcentral lists this ribosomal RNA (889 nucleotides) under Bacillus glycinifermentans. RNAcentral's name for it is "bacterial SSU rRNA". It matches the Rfam family "Bacterial small subunit ribosomal RNA", at positions 414 to 1295 of the family's 1533-position model. Lineage: Bacteria; Bacillati; Bacillota; Bacilli; Caryophanales; Bacillaceae. The record is from RNAcentral.